AACGAACGCUGGCGGCAUGCCUAACACAUGCAAGUCGAACGAGACCUUCGGGUCUAGUGGCGCACGGGUGCGUAACGCGUGGGAACCUGCCCUUAGGUUCGGAAUAACUCCCCGAAAGGGGUGCUAAUACCGGAUAAUUUCUUCGGACCAAAGAUUUAUCGCCUUUGGAUGUGCCCGCGUUGGAUUAGCUAGUUGGUAGGGUAAAAGCCUACCAAGGCGACGAUCCAUAGCUGGUCUGAGAGGAUGAUCAGCCACACUGGGACUGAGACACGGCCCAGACUACUACGGGAGGCAGCAGUGGGGAAUAGUGGAAAAUGGGCGAAAGCCUGAUACAGCAAUGCCGCGUGAGUGAUGAAGGCCUUAGGGUUGUAAAGCUCUUUUACCCGGGAUGAUAAUGACAGUACCGGGAGAAUAAGCUCCGGCUAACUCCGUG
RNAcentral lists this ribosomal RNA (433 nucleotides) under uncultured bacterium. RNAcentral's name for it is "partial 16S ribosomal RNA". It matches the Rfam family "Bacterial small subunit ribosomal RNA", at positions 29 to 507 of the family's 1533-position model. The record is from RNAcentral.